UGAAACAGAGUCACGUUUCAAAUCGUGGCCCCCUUCAACCUUCAUCUUCCUUCAUCUUUCCGGUCGCGACCUCCCUCUAUCAACUCUUCUCCGAUUCAACUUCCGAUGAGACGAAUGGCGGUGGCUCAACCUUCUCUUCCAUGGCGAAACGGCGGCACGAUACACAAGCAAACGGAAGUCUUUCCAACUCUAAUUCAAAAUUUGGGUUUCGUCUUCCUUCUUCUCUCUUGCUUCGUCUUUCAUCUUCUGCUUCCGAAUUUCUUCAUUGUUUGUUGAUUUUUGAGAACGUUGACGAACCAUUGCGUAUUGCUGAGGAAUGAAGGUGAUGCGUGUUGUUCGUUGUUGAAAUGGUGAUGAAUGUUGAAGAUUUGUUGUUGAGUUCGCUAUGCUUGGUUACAGAUCCGUUGAAAUGAUGUUGUGUGGAAACUUAUGAUAGUGACAACAUCACUUCUUGUUCAGAGGUUUCAUUAUUAGUUAAACCAAACAUUUUUAUGCAUUUCAUUAUAUGAUACAAUUCCAUUUUACUUUGCUGUGUAUAUUUGAAGUUAAUGCUUCCUUUAGCUAUUGCAGUAGUAGCGUUUGUGUAUCCCUCCAACUAUACUCACUCAGGAUAUUGGUUUUCAUCGAUAGCUGCAAGGAGCCUAUUGAGCCAUUGUCAAUUGAAGAAGUAGCUGAACGUUGCCAUGCUCCAGAAGAUCUUGAAGUAAUUUACAAGAUCAUCGCGCAUAUGGCUGCCAAUGAAAGAGCACUAAUUGCUGAAGAUACUGGCCUUCAUAGCUAAGGAAAUUGUUCCUUUGCAGGAACUAAGUGGAAGUAAAUUGCAAAGUGACUCAAAUGCUAUACCACUAGUUUAUCAUGAGGGUUAGUAUUUAUGGUGAGGAUUCUCAACAAUUCCUUGUUGGGUUUGCAGAAAAUGUUCGUGCUGCAACCAUUGUGUCUGCAGCUGUGGUUCCACGUAUUACCGGUAAAUGACCUGAAACUCUUGCUUAAUAGUAUUUGUGCUGCUAUCGACGUCCACCACUGCCGCUGGUCCCAUUUGCCACUGUUCUUAACACCGACAACUAAUCUCUGAUUGACAUUGCUUUGGCGUUGGGUAAGUUCUUUUUUUUCUUUCAUUUUUUGGGAUUGUGAGAUUAGGAGCUGUUUUGAGACUGUUUUGCCACUGUUCUAAUGUUGAUUUUGAAUAUAACUCGAUUAUAAUUUUCGUGUUAUGAAUUCUCGUAAGAUCAGACUCAGAGUUGGAAGUUGUACAGCUUAUUCUCGUAAAAGCAGAAAGUUGAGGUUACUGAUAUAUCAGGUUUGAAAGCAUUUUCUCUUAUCAGCAUACAACCUGGGGUCAAUUUGUUUUAAUCUUUUUUCUUAUCACCAACUAAUAAUAAUUUAAAUUAUGUGUUUUAGACUUAAAUCAUCUCUGUUUUACUUUUAUGACUUAUUGUUGUUUCUCUGAACUUUUAAAAGCUGAGAACCAAAUUAAAUUGAAGACCUAUCUAGAAGUUAAUAUGGCUUUGAAUCCAUAUGUGAAAUCUAUUUCCCUUCAGACUUAUAUUUUUCUUCUUCAUACAAGUAGCUGUUUUACAAAAGAUUGUAAUGGAUUGUUUGCUUAUUAGGUUUUGAAAGUGAAUGUUAUCUAUACUUUGUGCUUGCGUAGUUUAUUAUUUGAAGAGAUUGUUGGAAUCUUACUGAUAGAAGCUGUAAAACAGACACUGAACUUGUUCCUCUGAGCUUAUUUGAAGGAAAUAGGGUCAGUUAAUGUUUUAUUUAAUGCUUAGUUUCUCCUGCUAUUGCUGUAUGCAGGCCACACCUAUCAAAAAUGAUUUUAGAUAGAACUGGUUUCUGCAUCAAGAUAUCUUCAAAAGCUGAGUCUCUUAUUUGGCGUAUCGAGAUUGAUGAGAAUGUGGCAAGAGAGAUUAUCAACCACAGGUCUCUUCGGCACCCGAAUAUAAUUCGCUUUAAGGAGGUGGUUUUGACUCCUACUCAUUUAGCAAUAGUGAUGGAGUAUGCAGCUGGAGGUGAACUCUUUGAGCAGAUAUGUAGUGCUGGACGGUUUAGCGAAGACGAGGCUAGGUAUUUUUUCAGCAGCUGAUAUCUGGUGUCCAUUACUGUCAUGCUAUGCAAAUAUGUCAUAGAGAUUUGAAGCUGGAAAAUACACUGUUAGAUGGAAGCCCUGCACCUCGCUUGAAAAUUUGUGACUUUGGUUAUUCCAAGUCAUCUUUGCUUCAUUCCCGACCCAAAUCAACUGUUGGAACUCCCGCUUAUAUAGCUCCGGAGUUGGCUGAUGUGUGGUCGUGCGGUGUAACCCUUUAUGUCAUGCUGGUUGGAGCAUAUCCCUUUGAUCAAGAUGACCCGAGAAAUUUUAGGAAAACAAUUCAAAUUCAGCUGGAUGUUGAUGAUAUUGAAAAUAUACUAAACAGUUUGGUUCAACUAGAUAUGGUAAAUACCCUUUAAUUUUUGUCAAAAUUGUAAAUUAUUUGAAUGAUUGUUGUCUAAUUUGAGAUUAUGGACUGUGGUUUUAAAAUGCGGCUGCGAUUACAUUGGAGCCUUUAUAUUGCGGGGAUAUGCUAUCAUUCAGCAUCAAUGGUGUCGGGCGUACGGAAGGAUCAAUGGAUGCUGCUAAUCUUUUCAAACCAAUGCUUGCUCGUGGACAACUUAGAUGCAUUGGGGCUACAAUACUUGAUGAAUAUAGGAAGUAUGUUGAAAGGGAUGCAACAUUUGAAAGGAGGUUUCACAUGUUUAAGUGGCUGAACCUAGUGUGCCCGAUACUAUUAGUAUACUUCGGGGAUUGAAAGAGAGAUACGAGGGCCAUCAUGGUGUUAGAAUUUGUUGUUGCAGCUCAGUUGUCUAGUUGGUACAUAACUGGGCGUCAUCUUCUUGACAAGGCAAUUGAUUUAGUCGACGAGGCAUGUGCAAAUGUGAGAGUUCAACUUGAUAGUUAGCCAGAAGAAAUUGACAAUCUUGAAAGGAAGAGAAUGCAACUAGAAGUGGAGCUUCAUGCUCUAGAAAAAGAGAAGGACAAAGCUAGCAAAGCCCAUCUUGUAGAUGUAAGUAUAGAUGCUGAGUUUUUAUCUUAAGUAGGAAUUCAAAUUCAAAUUUGCCAUGUAGCAUCAAAUGAUAUAUUAGACUAUGAAUACAUAUUUAUUCAAUGACUGAUAAAUAACUUAGUUAAUCAAACUUUAUUCAUUUAACCUCAGUGUUGGACAAUGGUGCAAAGUAUGUGUUUUUUUGUAGUA
This is an RNA transcript of Vicia villosa (hairy vetch), 3227 nucleotides long. It is a transcript of the gene named glucose-6-phosphate isomerase 1, chloroplastic-like, with no coding region annotated. NCBI's taxonomy places the organism in Eukaryota, Viridiplantae, Streptophyta, Magnoliopsida, Fabales, Fabaceae. The transcript has 13 exons. The record is from RefSeq and is a predicted model, not a curated record.